Molecule: ribosomal RNA, 253 nt
Filed under: uncultured bacterium
Lineage: Bacteria
Description: partial 16S ribosomal RNA
Rfam family: Bacterial small subunit ribosomal RNA
Source: RNAcentral
UACGUAGGGGGCAAGCGUUGUCCGGAAUCAUUGGGCGUAAAGGGCGCGUAGGCGGCCUUCUAAGUCGAACGUGAAAUCCCCGGGCUCAACCCGGGAACUGCGUCCGAUACUGGAAGGCUUGAAUCCGGGAGAGGGAUGCGGAAUUCCAGGUGUAGCGGUGAAAUGCGUAGAUAUCUGGAGGAACACCGGUGGCGAAGGCGGCAUCCUGGACCGGCAUUGACGCUGAGGCGCGAAAGCCAGGGGAGCAAACGGG